This 905-nucleotide ribosomal RNA is filed under the name uncultured bacterium. RNAcentral describes it as "bacterial SSU rRNA". It matches the Rfam family "Bacterial small subunit ribosomal RNA", at positions 21 to 901 of the family's 1533-position model. The record is from RNAcentral.
GGCUCAGAACGAACGCGGGCGGCGUGCCUAACACAUGCAAGUCGAGCGCGAAAGUCCCUUCGGGGGCGAGUAGAGCGGCGGACGGGUGAGUAAUACAUGGAUAAUCUCCCUUCGAGCCCGGGAUAACACUGCGAAAGUGGUGCUAAUACCGGAUAAGACCACGUCACCCAGGUGGUGCGGGAAAAGGUGGCUUUGUUUUCGGAUGAGGCUAUCACUUGAUGAUGAGUCCAUGGCCUAUCAGCUUGUUGGCGAGGUAACGGCUCACCAAGGCUAUGACGGGUAGCUGGUCUGAGAGGACGACCAGCCACACUGGGACUGAGACACGGCCCAGACUCCUACGGGAGGCAGCAGUGGGGAAUAUUGGGCAAUGGGCGAAAGCCUGACCCAGCGACGCCGUGUGGGCGAUGAAGGCCUUCGGGUUGUAAAGCCCUGUUGGGUGGAAAGAAGGGUUCGGAGACGAAUAAUCUUCGGACUUUGACGGUACCACCAGAGGAAGCACCGGCUAACUCCGUGCCAGCAGCCGCGGUAAUACGGAGGGUGCAAGCGUUGUUCGGAAUUACUGGGCGUAAAGGGCGCGUAGGUGGUUGUGUAAGUCGGAUGUGAAAUCCCCAGGCUCAACUUGGGAACCGCAUCUGAUACUGCAUGACUAGAGUACUGCAGAGGGAAACGGAAUUCCUGGUGUAGAGGUGAAAUUCGUAGAUAUCAGGAGGAACACCGGUGGCGAAGGCGGUUUCCUGGGCAGAUACUGACACUGAGGCGAAAGCGUGGGUAGCAAACAGGAUUAGAUACCCUGGUAGUCCACGCUGUAAACGGUGAGUGCUGGGUGUGGGAGGUGUAAUGCCUUCUGUGCCGAAGCUAACGCGUUAAGCACUCCGCCUGGGGAGUACGGGCGCAAAGGUGAAACU